GAUGAACGCUAGCUACAGGCUUAACACAUGCAAGUCGCGGGGCAGCAUGGGGGUUGCUUGCAACCCCUGAUGGCGACCGGCGCACGGGUGAGUAACGCGUAUCCAACCUGCCCUUCACCACGGGAUAACCCGGCGAAAGUCGGACUAAUACCGUAUGUUGUCCAUUGACGGCAUCCGAUUUGGACGAAGGGCUUGGCGGUGAAAGGAUGGGGAUGCGUCCGAUUAGCUUGACGGCGGGGUAACGGCCCACCGUGGCUACGAUCGGUAGGGGUUCUGAGAGGAAGGUCCCCCACACUGGAACUGAGACACGGUCCAGACUCCUACGGGAGGCAGCAGUGAGGAAUAUUGGUCAAUGGGCGUAAGCCUGAACCAGCCAAGUAGCGUGCAGGAUGACGGCCCUAUGGGUUGUAAACUGCUUUUAUGCGGGGAUAAAGUGGCCCACGUGUGGGCUUUUGCAGGUACCGCAUGAAUAAGAACCGGCUAAUUCCGUG
Molecule: ribosomal RNA, 491 nt
Filed under: uncultured bacterium
Lineage: Bacteria
Description: partial 16S ribosomal RNA
Rfam family: Bacterial small subunit ribosomal RNA
Source: RNAcentral